AGCUAGUGUGGCAUAGUGGUUUGGAUGCUGGACUACAACUCUGGAGACCAAGGUUCGAUUCCAUGCUUGGCCA
This is a non-coding RNA of Phrynosoma platyrhinos (Desert horned lizard), 73 nucleotides long. Lineage: Eukaryota; Metazoa; Chordata; Lepidosauria; Squamata; Phrynosomatidae. The record is from the annotation of a GenBank genome assembly.